This 406-nucleotide ribosomal RNA is filed under the name uncultured bacterium. RNAcentral's name for it is "partial 16S ribosomal RNA". It matches the Rfam family "Bacterial small subunit ribosomal RNA", at positions 29 to 526 of the family's 1533-position model. The record is from RNAcentral.
AUUGAACGCUGGCGGCAGGCCUAACACAUGCAAGUCGAACGAAUGGCGGACGGGUGAAUAAUGUAGUAGAAACUGGCUGAUGGAGCGGGAUAAGGACUGGAAACGGUAGAUACUACCGCAAACCACGCGAUGUGCCCUGAGGGUAUUAGCUAGUGUGGUGGGUAACGGCUCACCAAGGCGACGAUGCCUAGCUGGUCUGAGAGGCUGAGCGGCCACACUGGAACUGAGACACGGUCCAGACUCAUACGGGAGGCAGCAGUGGGGAAUCUGGGACAAUGGGCGAAAGCCUGAUGCAGCCACGCCGCGUGUAUGAAGAAGGCCUUCGGGUUGUAAAGUACUGUCAGUGGGGAGGCGUUACCCGCAGAAGAAGCAACGGCUAACUCCGUGCCAGCAGCCGCGGUAAUUC